Molecule: non-coding RNA, 648 nt
Organism: Seriola aureovittata
Lineage: Eukaryota; Metazoa; Chordata; Actinopteri; Carangiformes; Carangidae
Source: the annotation of a RefSeq genome assembly
AACCUAAACCACAUGAAAAUAAGUAUUAACACAUCCUGAUCAAUACUCUGAUCAGCUGAUUGAUCCAUUGAUAAACAGCAUGAUCAGAGUGAUCCAAGUCCCUGCUGGAGUCAGUCAGAGCAUUUCCAUAGAGAGCCACUUUGCAUCAGCAGCACCAUGCUCCAGUGCUCUGGGAGAGUUUAUAGUCCUGAGAGUUGAAGACUGGAUGACUGACAGCUGUCCUUCAUGACAACAGAAGACACAGAAAUCCUCCUCAUCAGAAACAUGACUUUGGUCUCCGUCCUCAUCUGGACUCUCCUCUGCUGCUGCUUCACAGAGUCCAGAGGACAGGUCACAGUGACUCAGUCUGGAGCAGUGAGCUCUGCUCUGGGAGGCUCCGUCACCAUCAGCUGUAGGACCAGUCAGGGUGUUGAAGUUUAUAGCAACACACAUUGUUUACACUGGUACCAACAGAGAGAUGGAGAAAAACCUAAACUGCUUAUUUACGCUGCUUCCACUCGAGAAUCAGGGAUUCCAGGUCGUUUUACAGGAAGUGGAUCAAACUCUGACUUCACUCUGACCAUCAGUGGAGUCCAGACUGAAGAUGCAGCAGUUUACUACUGUCAGAGUUUUCACUAUAUCAACAGUCAGCUUGUGUUCACACAGUGA